Molecule: long non-coding RNA, 3878 nt
Organism: Falco peregrinus (peregrine falcon)
Lineage: Eukaryota; Metazoa; Chordata; Aves; Falconiformes; Falconidae
Exons: 2
Source: RefSeq, a predicted model, not a curated record
GGGAAAGGGGCCGUGAGGUUAAAAGAAGUAAAAUUUUUAAAAAAAAAAAAAAAAAAAGAGGAAAGGACGAGUGUCCCGGGCAGCAGUGCCCCUUGCCUGAGACGCUGUUCCUCUGCUCUUUCCACCCACACAUGGGUGUAACGGAGCCUUCUCGGAGACAUCACAGCCCUCCGUGACCUCUGCUCAGCAAAACAAAACCCUAAACAUCGGGGGGUUGGUUUCUUGUCGAAAACAAGCCCUGAUUUUCGAUGAGCUAGGAAAAAAGCUGUCGCUUGCCUCAAGAUGGUUUACAGCCCAGGAGCAUUUUCCAGAGGGGGAUGUAAGGCUUUAAAUCUGACUGCCCCUCACGCUGGAGAUGCGCUCCAGCUCACGAGCAAUCGAUUCACUGGCCGCAAGCGUGUAGCUGGUGUUGCAGUCUUUAAAACUGGUGAAUUUUGCCUUCAGUUUAGGAGCACUGGUGGUGAUUUAAUGAUGAAACUGCGCUACGGGACAUAGAAAACGUUUAUUCAAAGAUUAGAGAUGGAAGUAAGCACAAAGUGAACUUCUGCAACUAUUAGAGACACCGACAGCAAAGAUGUGAUGGUCAACAAACAAACUUGUGCUCGGCUGUGAAGCUAUCGAUUUUUCUUCACUAAAUAAUGAGUAAUUUUAAAAAAAAAAAAAGACUUUUUUUUAUGCAACCUAAAAAUACGCCUGUGGCCCUGGACUCCCCAAAUCAGCUUCUCUUUCCUUGUCUGCUGGAGACCCAUGUAACGCUGCUAAAUUUCUUCUGUGAAACUUCUCCUUGUGGUUGCACCCCAGAGGUCACAGCAAGCAACCCUACAGGCUCUGCUGCCCCCCUGGCUGCAGCAGCCCCCAGGUCCAGAGUUAACUCUCAGCUGACCCUUCUAUCAUUAACACUUGUUUCAUUCACAAAAAAAUAAUCCUAGAAUCUCCGAAUUGCUGCUUCAGUGCCGAACGUUUCAGGCUCACAUGAAGGUGGUGGCUCAUGUGUGACCCUUUCUGCUUGGGCUCCAGAGGUAACGGCUGCCUUUUGGAAAGGAGCAGGAGAACGAGGGGAGCAAGAGAACUGGGAUGCGCAACCACAGCAUCGGCGUGAUGAGUUUCUCCGGUCAAACCUUCCCUCGCCCAUCUCUCAGUUUUGUCUCUUCGAGCAGUAUAAUUGCAGGUCAGAAGCUCACAAAAGGGGAAAGUACAGGAAUUUUUGAGAAAUGGCCCAUCUUCUGCUUCUGAGGUGACAUGCCGUGAUAGCAAACUCCUCUCAGCCUGGGGAAGCUACAGCAGCGGUCCCUGCGCUGGCCCGGGCAGUGGGAUGGGCACGGAUCGUGGCGCAGAAAGCUGCUUCGGCUGCUCUCCUGACACUGAGCUCCUCCAGCACAGCCCAUUCCAAGGGGUGAAUUUUUUUUUUUUAAUUACUAUUUUGGGCCAAGCACAAUGGCAAGUUACUGUAGAGCCUUGGGACAACACACAGGAGCGGACCCCUACGAAGUCUCCUUACACUGCCCGUUCCGUCACUGCUGCUAUUUUACACAGCAAAUAAUAUUUUCACGCCGGCCAGGCUUUGGAAGGCAGGGGAGGAAAGGAACCAGAGCGACAGCGGUGGUGUGGUCAGAGCACUUUCCUCCCUUCCAGCUCCCUGCCGAGAGGUGGUCCCGGCUCCGCUCCGGUAGGGACCACCCGCAGCGUGUUGAGGUGGGACCCUCAGUGUUUCCUCUUGGAGCUCAUCAGACCUCCAGGACAAAGGUCUGGAACCACUGCGCCUUCCUCCUGAGGAGCCUGGGACUAGGUUAAGGGGCUUCCACUAGAUUUAAGUAGAUCUGAGCUCCCAGAAACCGACAUGCAAAGCGGGGAUGCGAAGAGCAGCAAGGAUUCAUCUCCAAACCGCCCAACCGAGGUGUUAUCGCCCUCCGCCGUGCGCCGACAAGCAAAUACGUGAAACAUUUUGCACAGGGUUAUACAGGAUUUCAACGGGGAGAGAAGUCCCACCAGGCACCUGCUCGCUCCAACAGACACAACCGAGCCAAGAACAGCCCCCCCAGAGCCUCGUGUUCCCGUUCCUUGGGCUCAGCAUCCAAACGCAAUGCGUCUUUAUUAUCAGAAUACGCUUUGCCAGCAGGAUCGCCAGCCUGGAUAGCAAAGCUUCGCCUCUAAGCCUUUAUCUCACUUUCAUACGUUUUCAAAGCCUUGUCUUCCCUAAAGAUGGGACCUGGAUACAAACAAGCCUUGACGGUCACCAACUUCUGCUCAGCUUCGGUGCUGAUGUUGCUUUCCACGCACACGGCCAGCUGUGUCUGUGCUGAGCCCACCUAAAAGCUUCCCAUCACCACUGAGCCCAGGGCAACAACUACAGCGCUCGUCAGGUUCUCUAGGGUUAGGAUUUACCGUCGAUAUUGGCGAUAAGGGCUGCUACGGCAGGCUGGAUGGCAUCCCCGGUCAAAGCAGGACACGUGUUCAGGAAGGAGGAGAUGGCUUGCAGUAAGUCUGCCAGCUUGGCUUCCACAGAAGCUGAAGUAACUUCUCCUAAAAUGAGGAAGGGGAGAAACUGUGAUUUUUUUUUUGCAUGCAUAAGCUCUUGUCCUCCCCUCUCCCAGGAUGAGCUCACUGCCGCGCACCCAGUUCUUCCUUGAUACUCCAGUUCUGCACAAAACAGAACGUAACAGCCGCUGAGCACCCCAGCGUGCAGUGAGGAUGGAUGUGGCAAUUGCCUGGUCCUUUUGUCACCUGGGCCACCCCUCCCCAAGGCUCCACACUGCUUUUUGUCCGGGUUCUACGCUGUGAGCCCUGGAGACGACCGUCCCUGCCUCCUGCUGCGGGAGCACACCCUGCCUUUGUGUCUUUCCAUCCAAAGACCAACCAACCAUCCAAAGAUCAAGAGAAAAACACGGUCCCAAGCUGAGCGCUGGGGAAGAUGCUCGCCGAAAGCACCAGCCCGGGCAGGGGUAAUUCCCACGUGCAGCCAGCAUCACGUGGGGGCAUCUCGCGGAGCCAAGAGCAGCACCGCCACCGGGAGCUUGCUGGAGAAGCGUGGCCAACCCAAGUCACCCGGCGUGCCCGGGGUAAGGUCAUCACCAUCACCUAGAGCUCUGGGUGGGGAGACUGGGAUCACUGGGAUCUCCGGAUGCCUCGGUGGAGAGAGUGGCAUUCCUCCAGGAGAUUCCUUCUUCCAGCAAGCAGCUGAAGGGGUUUUGUUAAGGCUGCCACGCUGUGCGAGGUUUCUGGAGCAGCACUGUGCUUGUGGUAACUCUUUUUUUUUCAUCCUCAGUUUAAUUUUAUUAAUUGGGCUCCAGCCUGGUGGAUGUCCUGCAAGUACAGAGGCUGGGGGAGGGGAGAGGAGGGCAGAGGGGGAAAGCGCCGGCACGCCAGCCGGGAAAGCACGGUGCUUCUGCUGGAGCACGCGUCCAGGCUGUGACACAGGCUCAGCACCCUCCCCCUUCAUCCAGAGCAUCACCAGCCCCAGCCCUUCUUGGGCUGGUGGCAUUUGGAAUCCUUCCCAGUGACAAAUCCCAGUUUUUUUGGGGGGUGGGGGGUGUCCUCGCAGGCCCCCUUUCCUUGAGCCAGUUUAACUCACUUGGGUGUCGCUGUCAGUAGUACUUGAUGUGAUUUUGCAUCGCUUUUUUUGGAGGAAACCCAUGCACUCAGGUGGUUAAGUGCUCUGAAGUGUUACCCGUUGAUGCAACUCAUUACAGGAAAAGACACUUGCAUAAUUAAAUAGCUGUGCUGAGAGAAGCCACCCUAAAUUGUCUGAGAGCCAUCUAAAUUCAGUGUUUUAAAUAAAUAAAGCAGCGAGAAUGACACAGGAUCACUUCUGCUGAAUGUAAAAUCGGCUUGUAAGCAAAUUAAAAAAUAAAUAAAUAAAAUAAAUUUACCUUUUCGGAAGA